RNAcentral lists this ribosomal RNA (468 nucleotides) under uncultured bacterium. RNAcentral describes it as "partial 16S ribosomal RNA". It matches the Rfam family "Bacterial small subunit ribosomal RNA", at positions 28 to 507 of the family's 1533-position model. The record is from RNAcentral.
GACGAACGCUGGCGGCGUGCUUAACACAUGCCAGUCGAACGGAACGUCCCUGCUUUUGUGGGGUGCUCGACUGGCGACCGGGUGAGUAACACGUGAGUAACCUGCCCUUGACUUUGGGGUAACUUCAGGAAACUGGGGCUAAUACCGGAUAGGAGCUCCUGCUUCAUGGUGGGCGUUGGAAAGUUUCGGCGGUUGGGGAUGGACUCGCGGCUUAUCAGCUUGUUGGUGGGGUAGUGGCUUACCAAGGCUUUGACCGGUAGCCGGCCUGAGAGGGUGACCGGCCACAUUGGGACUGAGAUACGGCCCGGACUCCUACGGGAGGCAGCGGUGGGGAAUAUUGCACAAUGGGCGGAAGCAUGAUGCAGCAACGCCGCGUGCGGGAUGACGGCCUUCGGGUUGUAAACCGCUUUCGCCUGUGACGAAGCGUGAGUGACGGUAAUGGGUAAAGAAGCACCGGCUAACUACGUG